UACGGAAGGCAGCAGUGGGGAAUAUUGCACAAUGGGCGAAAGCCUGAUGCAGCUAUGCCGCGUGUAUGAAGGAGGCCUUAGGGUUGUAAAGUACUUUCAUCGGGGAGGAAAAAACAAAACUAAUAAUUUUAUUUCUUGACGUUACCCGAAAAAGAAGCACCGGCUAACUCCGUGCCAGCAGCCGCGGUAAUACGGAGGGUGCUAGCGUUAAUCAGAAUUACUGGGCGUAAAGAGCACGUAGGUGGUUUUUUUAAGUCAGAUGUGAAAUCCCUGGGCUUAACCUGGAACUGCAUUUUGAAACUGAAAUACUAGAGUAUCGUAGAGGGAGGUAGAAUUCUAGGUGUAGCGGUGAAAUGCGUAGAUAUCUGGAGGAAUACCUGUGGCGAAAGCGGCCUCCUAAACGAAUACUGACACUGAGGUGCGAAAGCGUGGGGAGCGAAACAGGGAUUAGAUACCCGU
Molecule: ribosomal RNA, 459 nt
Filed under: uncultured bacterium
Lineage: Bacteria
Description: bacterial SSU rRNA
Rfam family: Bacterial small subunit ribosomal RNA
Source: RNAcentral